GCCAGCAGCCAUAUCCCCCUGCAGCUCCCAGCUGGCAGCCCCACUGGAGCUCAGCAGCUGUGAGCCUGGUCAGUACCUGGAUGGGAGACUCCUGGGAAAGCUCAGGUUGCUGCUGGAA
RNAcentral lists this ribosomal RNA (118 nucleotides) under Lepisosteus oculatus (spotted gar). The record is from RNAcentral. Lineage: Eukaryota; Metazoa; Chordata; Actinopteri; Semionotiformes; Lepisosteidae.